Molecule: ribosomal RNA, 475 nt
Filed under: uncultured bacterium
Lineage: Bacteria
Description: partial 16S ribosomal RNA
Rfam family: Bacterial small subunit ribosomal RNA
Source: RNAcentral
GACGAACGCUGGCGGCGUGCCUAAAACAUGCAAGUCGAACGGUUCCAGCAAUGGGACAGUGGCGAACGGCGGAGUAAUACGCGAGCAACGUGCCCCGAAGACUGGGAUAGUCGGCCGAAAGGCCGGGUAAUACCGGAUGUGGCGUUUAGAUCGCCUGAUCUUAACGUUAAAAGGUUUUUCGCUUCGGGAGCGGCUCACGGCCUAUCAGGUAGUUGGUGGGGUAACGGCCUACCAAGCCUACGACGGGUAGCGGGUCGUGAGAGGAUGGUCCGCUCGAGUGGGACUGAGACACGGCCCACACACCUACGGGUGGCAGCAGUUGGGAAUCUUGCACAAUGGGGGCAACCCUGAUGCAGCGACGCCGCGUGGAGGAUGACGGGUCUAGGCCUGUAAACUCCUUUUCCCCGGAAAGACUUAGGACGGUACCGGGGGAAUAAGCACCGGCUAACUACGUGCCAGCAGCCGCCGCAGUAAU